Long non-coding RNA from Mus musculus (house mouse), 847 nucleotides. RefSeq annotates it as predicted gene, 39652. Lineage: Eukaryota; Metazoa; Chordata; Mammalia; Rodentia; Muridae. The transcript has 3 exons. The record is from RefSeq and is a predicted model, not a curated record.
CAUACUUGGUUCUUUGGUUACUAGGUUUUCAACUUAGCAAGAAAUUUGGGGGCUUUCCUCAUAUAAGGACAUGGAAAUGUUAAAAUUCUUUGCUCUAUCAAGGUUGAUUCUAUGUUGUGGCGAUGUUUAGAGAUUUACCUACUCAUGCAUACUUUGUCAUGUCUUUUUUUGCCAUUCCGAACAGCCGUGAAUGGAGGAAUAAUCUUGCGUAUAUUGCAGGUCAUGUGAGUGUGAGAGGUUCUUUAGGAGCCCUCUCUAGUUUGACCUGUUGGACUGGAAGGCUACCUUCAACUUUACUUGGAAAUCCCAUCAUCCUGAUUACUGCCACUGCCUUCUCGAGACUGUCUCUUCACCUCAGAUAGCAUUCUCUUACGUUCCUGAUUGUACUACUGGGACAUGAUAACUCUCGAUCUAGCUGCUUGCCUAUCCUGGCAUCCCAUAUUAGGAGCAGACUACCAGCUUCCAUAGGAGCUAUUCCUCAAGGCCUCAUGUGUUGGAGACUGAGUGGCCAGCUGAUAUGCUCGGAGGAUGCGAUAGGAUCCUGAGGGCUCUGACCUAAUCAAUGGAUUAAUUCCUUCCUGGAUUCAUAACAUGCUGGCAUUAUUGAGUGUGUUAACUAUUUUUAUCAUUACUGUUAAAAAAAUACUUGACAAAGACAACUGAGGGAAGGAGAGCUCUGUUUUGGCUCACUGUUUGAGGACACAGUCCUUCAUGGCAGAAAAGACCUGCUGUGACGUGGCUGAUCACUUUGCAUCCAGUCGGGGAAGCCGAGAGCUAUGCAGGUUGGGACUCAGAGACACAGAAGAUGAGACCCCUGAUGGUACCACUUACCCCAGGCUUAUUCAGG